GCGACAGGCUUAACACAUGCAAGUCGAGGGGCAGCACAGGUAGCAAUACCGGGUGGCGACCGGCGCACGGGUGAGUAACGCGUAUGCAACUUGCCUAUCAGAGGGGGAUAACCCGGCGAAAGUCGGACUAAUACCGCAUGAAGCAGGGGCCCCGCAUGGGGAUAUUUGCUAAAGAUUCAUCGCUGAUAGAUAGGCAUGCGUUCCAUUAGGCAGUUGGCGGGGUAACGGCCCACCAAACCGACGAUGGAUAGGGGUUCUGAGAGGAAGGUCCCCCACAUUGGUACUGAGACACGGACCAAACUCCUACGGGAGGCAGCAGUGAGGAAUAUUGGUCAAUGGGCGUAAGCCUGAACCAGCCAAGUCGCGUGAGGGAUGAAGGUUCUAUGGAUCGUAAACCUCUUUUAUAAGGGAAUAAAGUGCGGGACGUGUCCCGUUUUGUAUGUACCUUAUGAAUAAGGAUCGGCUAACUCCGUGCCAGCAGCCGCGGUAAUACGGAGGAUCCGAGCGUUAUCCGGAUUUAUUGGGUUUAAAGGGUGCGUAGGCGGCCUUUUAAGUCAGCGGUGAAAGUCUGUGGCUCAACCAUAGAAUUGCCGUUGAAACUGGGAGGCUUGAGUAUGUUUGAGGCAGGCGGAAUGCGUGGUGUAGCGGUGAAAUGCUUAGAUAUCACGCAGAACCCCGAUUGCGAAGGCAGCCUGCCAAGCCAUUACUGACGCUGAUGCACGAAAGCGUGGGGAUCAAACAGGAUUAGAUACCCUGGUAGUCCACGCAGUAAACGAUGAUCACUAGCUGUUUGCGAUACACUGUAAGCGGCACAGCGAAAGCGUUAAGUGAUCCACCUGGGGAGUACGCCGGCAACGGUGAAACUCAAAGGAAUUGACGGGGGCCCGCACAAGCGGAGGAACAUGUGGUUUAAUUCGAUGAUACGCGAGGAACCUUACCCGGGUUUGAACGCAUUUUGACAGCUCUGGAAACAGAGCCUCUAGCAAUAGCGAUUUGCGAGGUGCUGCAUGGUUGUCGUCAGCUCGUGCCGUGAGGUGUCGGCUUAAGUGCCAUAACGAGCGCAACCCUUGCCACUAGUUACUAACAGGUAAAGCUGAGGACUCUGGUGGGACUGCCAGCGUAAGCUGCGAGGAAGGCGGGGAUGACGUCAAAUCAGCACGGCCCUUACAUCCGGGGCGACACACGUGUUACAAUGGCGUGGACAAAGGGAGGCCACCUGGCGACAGGGAGCGAAUCCCCAAACCACGUCUCAGUUCGGAUCGGAGUCUGCAACCCGACUCCGUGAAGCUGGAUUCGCUAGUAAUCGCGCAUCAGCCAUGGCGCGGUGAAUACGUUCCCGGGCCUUGUACACACCGCCCGUCAAGCCAUGGGAGCCGGGGGUACCUGAAGUCCGUAACCGAAAGGAUCGGCCUAGGGUAAAACUGGUG
This 1427-nucleotide ribosomal RNA is filed under the name uncultured organism. RNAcentral describes it as "SSU rRNA". It matches the Rfam family "Bacterial small subunit ribosomal RNA". The record is from RNAcentral.